CGGUUCUAUUUAUUGGUUCAGGAACUGAAAUAAUGGUUAAGAGGGACAAUUCGGGGGGCAUUCGUAUCCCUGCGCGAGAGGUGAAAUUCGUGGACCGCAGGGGGACGCCCUAAAAGCGAAAGCAUUUGCCAAGAAUGUCUUCAUUAAUCAAGAACGAAAGUCAGAGGUUCGAAGGCGAUUAGAUACCGCCCUAGUUCUGACCGUAAACUAUGCCAUCUAGCGAUCCGAUGGGGUAUUGUUGCC
Molecule: ribosomal RNA, 243 nt
Filed under: Oslerus rostratus
Lineage: Eukaryota; Metazoa; Nematoda; Chromadorea; Rhabditida; Filaroididae
Description: partial 18S ribosomal RNA
Rfam family: Eukaryotic small subunit ribosomal RNA
Source: RNAcentral